GCAGAGAAGAUGGCACAAGCAUUUUCCCCCAAAGCAGGGCCAAUGUUCAGAUCCAUGUCAGGCGCCGGGGAGGAAGAUUCCUCCGAACUGACAUUGGCUUUUAGGAGAGGAGGAAAAGCAGUAGACUCAACCAUGUCCUCAAUGCCGAGAAGGGGAGAGAGAGGCGGCGAGACCGGAGAAAGUGGCCUAGAGAUUCCAUACUCAGCGUAUAGAUCAAGAGAGACAUCACUGAUCGAGUUUCCCGUAGAGAGAUGAUUGUGGCUUACCAUCAAAAAGGCAGUAAGUGAGGGGGCCUAAGAGGAGGAGAGGGUGGGG
RNAcentral lists this long non-coding RNA (315 nucleotides) under Panax ginseng (ginseng). RNAcentral describes it as "long non-coding RNA (PGIN_LNC005852)". Lineage: Eukaryota; Viridiplantae; Streptophyta; Magnoliopsida; Apiales; Araliaceae. The record is from RNAcentral.